ACGUAAUAGAUACCCGGGUAGUCCUGGCUGUAAACGAUGACCACUAGAUGCACGCGGGCUCGACCCUGGGUGUGUCGCAGUUAACGCUUUAAGUGGUCCGCCUGGGGAGUACGGUCGCAAGACUAAAACUCAAAGGAAUUGACGGGGACCCGGCACAAGCAGCGGAGCGUGUGGUUUAAAUUCGAAGCAACGCGAAGCACCUUACCAGGGCUUGACAUGCUCCUGCACCAGCGGUAAUGCGCUGUCCUCUUCGGAGGCGGGAGCACAGGUGCUGCAUGGCUGUCGUCAGCUCGUGUCGUGAGAUGUUGGGUUUAAGUCCCGCAACGAGCGCAACCCCUGUGGUUGGUUGGAUCUUCUCCAGCCAGACUGCCGUGAGCAACACGGAGGAAGGUGGGGAUGACGUCAAGUCAGCAUGGCCCUGACGUCCUGGGCGACACACACGCUACAAUGGCCGGUCCAACGGGUAAGCCAACCCGCGAGGGGUAGCGGAUCCCAGCAAACCCCGGGUUCUCAGUUCAGAUUGCAGGCU
RNAcentral lists this ribosomal RNA (529 nucleotides) under uncultured bacterium. RNAcentral's name for it is "bacterial SSU rRNA". It matches the Rfam family "Bacterial small subunit ribosomal RNA", at positions 773 to 1306 of the family's 1533-position model. The record is from RNAcentral.